This 484-nucleotide ribosomal RNA is filed under the name uncultured bacterium. Its description in RNAcentral is "partial 16S ribosomal RNA". It matches the Rfam family "Bacterial small subunit ribosomal RNA", at positions 29 to 507 of the family's 1533-position model. The record is from RNAcentral.
AUUGAACGCUGGCGGCAUGCUUUACACAUGCAAGUCGAACGGCAGCGCGGGCUUCGGCCUGGCGGCGAGUGGCGAACGGGUGAGUAAUACAUCGGAACGUGCCCAGUAGUGGGGGAUAGCUCGGCGAAAGCCGGAUUAAUACCGCAUACGACCUGAGGGUGAAAGCGGGGGAUCUUCGGACCUCGCGCUAUUGGAGCGGCCGAUGGCAGCUUAGCUAGUUGGUGGGGUAAAGGCCUACCAAGGCGACGAUCUGUAGCUGGUCUGAGAGGACGACCAGCCACACUGGGACUGAGACACGGCCCAGACUCCUACGGGAGGCAGCAGUGGGGAAUUUUGGACAAUGGGCGAAAGCCUGAUCCAGCAAUGCCGCGUGUGUGAUGAAGGCCUUCGGGUUGUAAAGCACUUUUGGCGGGAACGAAAAGGACUGUGCCAAUACCACGGUUCGAUGACGGUACCCGCAGAAUAAGCACCGGCUAACUACGUG